RNAcentral lists this ribosomal RNA (253 nucleotides) under uncultured bacterium. Its description in RNAcentral is "partial 16S ribosomal RNA". It matches the Rfam family "Bacterial small subunit ribosomal RNA", at positions 524 to 776 of the family's 1533-position model. The record is from RNAcentral.
UACGUAGGGGGCAAGCGUUGUCCGGAAUCAUUGGGCGUAAAGAGCGCGUAGGCGGCCAGAAAAGUCCGCUGUGAAAACUCGAGGCUCAACUUCGAGCUGUCGGUGGAAACUUUCUGGCUAGAGUCCGGAAGAGGAGAAUGGAAUUCCUGGUGUAGCGGUGAAAUGCGCAGAUAUCAGGAAGAACACCCGUGGCGAAGGCGGUUCUCUGGGACGGUACUGACGCUGAGACGCGAAAGCGUGGGGAGCGAACAGG